Molecule: ribosomal RNA, 1639 nt
Filed under: human gut metagenome
Description: bacterial LSU rRNA
Rfam family: Bacterial large subunit ribosomal RNA
Source: RNAcentral
UGAACGAAGUCUAGUGGAAUCCUGAGUAGCGCGGAGCACGAGAAAUUCUGUGUGAAUCAGCGGGGCCCAUCCCGUAAGGCUAAAUACUCCCGAGAGACCGAUAGCGAACCAGUACCGUGAGGGAAAGGUGAAAAGAACCUCGAACAGAGGAGUGAAAUAGACCCUGAACCCGUCUGCCUACAAGCGGUCGGAGCAACGUAAGUUGUGACGGCGUGCCGUUUGCAUAAUGAACCGACGAGUUACUUUCUCCGGCAAGGUUAAGUAUGUCAGAUACGGAGCCGAAGCGAAAGCGAGUCUGAAUAGGGCGACAUAGUCGGAGGGAGUAGACGCGAAACCAAGUGAUCUACCCUUGGUCAGGUUGAAGGUUAGGUAACACUAACUGGAGGACCGAACCGGUGAGCGUUGAAAAGCUUUCGGAUGAACUGUGGGUAGGGGUGAAAGGCUAAUCAAACUUGGAGAUAGCUCGUACUCCCCGAAAUGCAUUUAGGUGCAGCCUUUAUUUAGUAUAGCAUGAGGUAGAGCGACUGAUUGGAUGCGAGGGCUUCACCGCCUAUCAAGUCCAGAUAAACUCCGAAUGCGUGCUAUAUAUUGAUAAGGAGUGAGGGCGCGGGUGCUAAGGUCCGCGUCCGAGAGGAGAAGAAUCCAGACCAUCAGCUAAGGUCCCCAAAUAACAGUUAAGUUGAACUAACGAAGUCAGACUGCAGAGACAGCUAGGAUGUUGGCUUGGAAGCAGCCAUUCAUUUAAAGAGUGCGUAACAGCUCACUAGUCGAGGAGUCCGGCGUGGAUAAUACUCGGGCAUAAACUGUUUACCGAAGCUAUGGAUGUGUAAACACAUGGUAGGGGAGCAUUCCAACGGCGUCGAAGGUGAAGGAUGACCUUUGCUGGAGCUUUUGGAAACGCAAAUGUAGGUAUAAGUAACGAUAAAGGAGGUGAGAAACCUCCUCGCCGAAAGACUAAGGUUUCCUGAUCAACGUUAAUCGGAUCAGGGUAAGUCGGGACCUAAGGAUAAGCCGAACGGCGAUUCCGAUGGAAGAAUGGUUUAAUAUUCCCAUACUACUUUAUAGAGCGAUGUGGAGACGGAGAAGUGACAGUCCUGCCAACUGACGGAAUAGUUGGUUAAAGGGUGUAGACGUCGAUCGCGGUAGGCAAAUCCGCCGUGAGAGUCGAACCUGAGAGUAUGCCGAGUACUUGUACAAGGCAAUAUGGAUGUAAACAGGCUCCCUAGAAAAUCCGCUAAGCAUAUCUAUAGAGUACCCGUACCGUAAACGGACACACGUAGUUGGGUUGAGAAUACUGAGGCGCUCGAGUGAUUCACGGUUAAGGAACUAGGCAAAUUGACCCUGUAACUUCGGGAUAAAGGGUCCCUGUCAGCGAUGGCGGGGCGCAGAGAAUAGGUCCAGGCAACUGUUUAACAAAAACACAUGGCUGUGCGAAAUAGAAAUAUGAAGUAUACAGCCUGACACCUGCCCGGUGCUGGAAGGUUAAGAGGAGAGCUCAUCGCAAGAGAAGGUUUGAAUUGAAGCCCCAGUAAACGGCGGCCGUAACUAUAACGGUCCUAAGGUAGCGAAAUUCCUUGUCGGGUAAGUUCCGACCUGCACGAAUGGUGUAAUGAUCUGGACACUGUCUCAACCGUGAGCU